Molecule: ribosomal RNA, 419 nt
Filed under: bacterium
Lineage: Bacteria
Also listed under: 1 other name
Description: partial 16S ribosomal RNA
Rfam family: Bacterial small subunit ribosomal RNA
Source: RNAcentral
UGGGGGAUAUUGCACAAUGGGCGAAAGCCUGAUGCAGCGACGCCGCGUGGGGAUGAAGGCUUUCGGGUUGUAAACCUCUUUCGCUAUCGAACAAGGCCCGCUUAGGGUGGGUUGAGGGUAGGUGGAGAAGAAGCGCCGGCUAACUACGUGCCAGCAGCCGCGGUAAUACGUAGGGCGCGAGCGUUGUCCGGAAUUAUUGGGCGUAAAGGGCUUGUAGGCGGCUUGUUGCGCCUGCUGUGAAAACGCGGGGCUUAACUUCGCGCGUGCAGUGGGUACGGGCAGGCUUGAGUGUGGUAGGGGUGACUGGAAUUCCAGGUGUAGCGGUGGAAUGCGCAGAUAUCUGGAGGAACACCGAUGGCGAAGGCAGGUCACUGGGCCAUUACUGACGCUGAGGAGCGAAAGCAUGGGUAGCGAACAGG